CGUUAAGUGUCCCGCCUGGGGAGUACGAUCGCAAGAUUAAAACUUAAGGGAAUUGGCGGGGGCUCGCACAAGCGGUGGAGCGCAUUGUUUAAUUGGAUGCUACGCCAAGAACCUUACCAGGCCUUGACAUUCUAUUCUUGAUGCUCAUUUGGAAACAUUUGAGAAAGUCUUUUAUUAGACUGGUAUAGAACAGGUGUUGCACGGCUGUCGUCAGUUCGUCUCGUGAGAGGUAGGGUUAAGUCCUACAACGAACGCAACCCAUACCGUGUGUUGUAUCACUCACGCGGAACCGCCCGGGUAACCGGGAGGAAGGUGUGGAUGACGUCAAGUCAGCGUUGCCCUUAUGGCCUGGGCGACAAAUGCGCUACAAUGGCGUGUACAAUGGGCAGCCACCCCGUGAGGGGGAGCUAAUCCCAAAAACACGUCUCAGUUCGGAUUGAAGGCUGCAAUUCGCCUUCAUGAAGUUGGAAUCGCUAGUAACCGCGUAUCAGCCACGGCGCGGUGAAUACGUUCUCGAGCCUUGCACACACCGCCCGUCACAUAAGCCGAGUUGGGAACAGCCGAAGCUUUUCAUUUGGUUGAGGAGUUAAGCUGGGCUCAGCGAGGAGUGUGAAGUCGUAACAAGGUGUCCCUAGGGGAAUCUGGGGACGGAUCACCUCCUUU
RNAcentral lists this ribosomal RNA (663 nucleotides) under candidate division WWE3 bacterium. Its description in RNAcentral is "bacterial SSU rRNA". It matches the Rfam family "Bacterial small subunit ribosomal RNA", at positions 858 to 1533 of the family's 1533-position model. The record is from RNAcentral. Lineage: Bacteria; candidate division WWE3.